RNAcentral lists this long non-coding RNA (1122 nucleotides) under Olea europaea subsp. europaea. Lineage: Eukaryota; Viridiplantae; Streptophyta; Magnoliopsida; Lamiales; Oleaceae. The record is from RNAcentral.
CUUUUUUAUAUUCAGCCCGUGUCCAACAAGAAAAACACUAGCCCAACUAUCCAAGCCCAAAUCAAAACUUAUAACCAAAACAAAAUUAUAUUUACUGGCCCAAAGCUCCAAAUCUAAACCCAAUGCUAAUAGUCUCCCUCUCCCUCAACACACAGCCCCGUAAUCCCAUUUCUCAGAGGUCUCAAAUUUCAAUCUCCUACUUUCACGCAAUACGUUUCCCCCAAAAUUUUUGUCACAACUACGUACCUUCUAGGUUAUAAAAGUUAAAAUUCACUUACCAAUUUUGUUCAAACAAUCAGAUAACCCCUUCAUUUUUUUACUUUCUCGUUUUCCUAUUUGUCUUGCAAGAACAAUCAAACAAUGGUGCGAACGGUAAAGCGGGAAUUGAUGGACAAUCGAGCAGUUGAAAUACCUCAACUUUAAGAAUUGGAUUAGCGGUAAUUUGAUUUCCCAUCAUUUUAGCAAUUUCUUUCUUUGUUUUUGUAUUUCAAUUUUGAGUUAUUUAUUUAUUUUGCAUAUUCGGGUCAUUAAUGUCUCUGUUUUUUCCCCUAUAUUUGUUUACUUUGAUUAAUUCGUAUUUAGUGAAAAGAUUGAUGAAAGCUCAUUGCAAAAAAUCUCUAUCUUUCGAUUUGUUUUGUCUUCAUAUACUGGAAAAAAAUUGAGUGUUUUAAUCUUUAAUUUAAUUUUCUUCCAGAAUGGGUGCUUCUGGGAAGUGGGUAAAAUCACUCAUUAGUCUGAAGAAGCCGGGAUCAAAUGACAGUGUAAGCUAAUAAUCUUUGUAUUAUCUUUAUAUGAUUUUUAUAUUGAACUGUGUUGAGGGCUUGAGCCUUAUAAUCUUCGUAUUAUCUUUAUAUGAUUUUUUUGGUAUUUUAUGCAAUGAUUUUUAUAUUGAACUGUGUUGAGCUUAAUUCAUAUGUAAUGGUGUGUUUGGUUGGGCUCAAUAGUUGUUGUUGACUUCUUUUUGCCUUGUUGGCUUAAUGAUUGUUAUUGUUGUGUCGUCCAUGAGUUGCUCGCUGAAAAUGUCCGCUCGUUUCGUGCUAGACUGCUAGGGUUCGCCCUGAAACAAGCACUAGCCACCCAUGGGCUGAGUCCCAAUGGUCGAGCUGACGAUAUCACUGUUUA